Molecule: ribosomal RNA, 164 nt
Filed under: Hippocrepis biflora
Lineage: Eukaryota; Viridiplantae; Streptophyta; Magnoliopsida; Fabales; Fabaceae
Description: 5.8S ribosomal RNA
Rfam family: 5.8S ribosomal RNA
About the family: 5.8S ribosomal RNA (5.8S rRNA) is a component of the large subunit of the eukaryotic ribosome. It is transcribed by RNA polymerase I as part of the 45S precursor that also contains 18S and 28S rRNA. Functionally, it is thought that 5.8S rRNA may be involved in ribosome translocation.
Source: RNAcentral
UAAAAUGACUCUCGGCAACGGAUAUCUCGGCUCUCGCAUCGAUGAAGAACGUAGCGAAAUGCGAUACUUGGUGUGAAUUGCAGAAUCCCGUGAACCAUCGAGUCUUUGAACGCAAGUUGCGCCCGAAGCCAUUAGGUUGAGGGCACGUCUGCCUGGGUGUCACA